AACUUCUUAAGAGGCUGCUCACACCCCUGCAGGAGUCAGUCCCUGUCAGGACGCAGCAUGGCCAUGAGGGCUCCUGCUCAGCUCCUGGGGCUCCUGCUGCUCUGCCUACCAGGUGCCAAAUGUGACAUUAUAAUGACCCAGUCUCCAGCCUCCCUGUCUAAAUCUCAAGGAGAAACAGUCACCAUCAGGUGCCAGGCCAGUCAGGGUAUUGGCAAUGAAUUAAGCUGGUACCAGCAGAAACCAGGGCAAGCGCCUAAGCUCCUGAUCUAUGGUGCCAACCGUUUGCACUCUGGGGUCCCCUCGAGGUUCAGUGGCAGUGGAUCUGGGACAGAUUAUUCUCUCACCAUCAGCAGCCUGGAGCCUGAAGAUUUUGCCACUUAUUUCUGUCAACAAGAUUACAGUUACCCUCCCACACACUCAGCCAUCAGAUCAGGCCCACAAGAUUUGGUGUCCCUUAAGGUGUGUGUGCCCUGCUCUGUGCAGUAG
This is a non-coding RNA of Marmota flaviventris (yellow-bellied marmot), 486 nucleotides long. Lineage: Eukaryota; Metazoa; Chordata; Mammalia; Rodentia; Sciuridae. The record is from the annotation of a RefSeq genome assembly.